Small nucleolar RNA from Amphilophus citrinellus (Midas cichlid), 130 nucleotides. Its record names the gene SNORA63. It matches the Rfam family "Small nucleolar RNA SNORA63". From Rfam's summary of the family: E3 belongs to the H/ACA class of snoRNAs and is involved in the processing of eukaryotic pre-rRNA and has regions of complementarity to 18S rRNA. Lineage: Eukaryota; Metazoa; Chordata; Actinopteri; Cichliformes; Cichlidae. The record is from Ensembl.
AUGCAGGAAAAGUUACAAUGCAGCUUUUGCAGUACUGCAUUGUCGUUCCCCCUGCAAACAGCAACUCGUUUCCUCGCUAUCCCUGUCUGCCAUUAACUCUUGGCUGCUGGGGACGUAAGGUUUCAGACAC